Molecule: non-coding RNA, 471 nt
Organism: Nothobranchius furzeri (turquoise killifish)
Lineage: Eukaryota; Metazoa; Chordata; Actinopteri; Cyprinodontiformes; Nothobranchiidae
Source: RefSeq, a predicted model, not a curated record
CCUUGUCAGUCGGUUGAGCGUUUAAACCCGUCUGCCCGCCUACUGCCCGACCUCUGCUGCCUAUCGCCUUAGUACCUGUCUGGACCGGAGUAAUCAUCUUUAUCGGCAGCCCUCACCACAGAACGCUGCUGCUGUUUUCAGGAGGCCACGCUGCCCGGAACCGACUCCAGCGGGUCCAGAUCGCUGUACCAAAUCCGUCAAGCCAAGCAGUGGGGAACAGCCGCAUGGGAGAGCAAUGCUGCCAUCUGCGGGUCAUUCCAGGAAUUCUCUGAGGAAUUAAAGAGGGUUUUUGAUCCAGUUCGCCCUGAACGAGAGGCAGCUCGGGGACUGUCUGAAAGAAUCAAGGAUGAGUUGGCGGCCAGAGAUCCGCCCAGAUCGCUCCAAGCCCUGGAACAACUGGAUACCCGGAUUGACCUGCGGCUCAGGGAACGGAGGAGAGAGAGACUGAGUUACGUCCCCCUCCGUACCCCC